RNAcentral lists this long non-coding RNA (1035 nucleotides) under Junco hyemalis (dark-eyed junco). Its description in RNAcentral is "lncRNA (ENSJHYG00000013083.1)". The record is from RNAcentral. Lineage: Eukaryota; Metazoa; Chordata; Aves; Passeriformes; Passerellidae.
AUGCCCAGGGUCCCGGUAUCUGGAAUUUCUGAGAUGCGGGCACAACCAUCCACGAGGGCAGCAGAUGAAAAACUCCUGCUCCAGAAGCUUGCACACUUCUCUGGGCAACCACCACUGCUGUCUGGGCGACCAGGGGAUUUCCUAGGUUGGCACUGCCAUGAGGGUCCAACUGGAAGGGCACGGCACGGCUUGGCUCGGCACGGCACAGCAGGGCACGGCACGGAGCACCGCGGCAAUUCGAACAUCGCAGCCGCCGGGCACGGCGGGCACUGCGGGGCCGGCUCUGGCGGCCACAGUGGCGGCUGCAGGGCUGAGUGUUCCUGCCCGCAGAUCCCGGGGGAAUGUGAUCCCAAAGUGAUGGCCAUUCCCGGGAGCCAUCGCCACUCGGGGCACAACAGAAUGUCAGAUCCUGACAUGUCUUCUCGAGAGAAAAAGCACGGCUCCGUGUGGCCGCGCCGUGGGAAAGGAGCCCGCUGCAGCAUGCGGGAGCAGCUCUGGUGCCGUGCCCAGCCUCGGGCGAGCGGCUCGGAGGGGCUCCCGGCGGCACAGCCGGGGCGCGGGGCCACGCUGGGAGCAGCUGGACAGGCCACGAAUUCCUGCCGGCGGCCGGCCCGGCGGGGCAUAGCAACGGGAGCCGGGGGAGGAACGGGAAGCAGCAGGAGCUGUGAGAAAGCGAGCGGAGCCGCGGGGCCAGGCGGGGGCCGGAGCGGGGGCGCGGAGGAGGAGGAGGAGGCGGCAGGGGCGGCUCGGGCCCUCCCGCCGGGCACGGCUCCUCUCCGAACACCCCCCAAAGCCGCCGGUUUGCGGCCGCUCCCGUUCGUGCCAGCGUGCACCGGGCUCGGCCCCCAGAGCGGCCGCGACGCGCACGGCAAUGCCGCCAGCCCCGCAGCGGGGCACUGCUGCCUCCCCGCGCUGCCAGCCGGGGCACACAGCGAGUGCCCCCUCCGGCACUGCUGCCCGCCGCUCACUGCGCCUCUCGCUGCCUCGGCCGAGGCUGCGGAACGGCAGCGCUCCCCGGCCGCGGGCGCAUUUUGA